RNAcentral lists this ribosomal RNA (936 nucleotides) under Aloconota sp. HE-2012. Its description in RNAcentral is "SSU rRNA". It matches the Rfam family "Eukaryotic small subunit ribosomal RNA", at positions 439 to 1304 of the family's 1831-position model. The record is from RNAcentral. Lineage: Eukaryota; Metazoa; Arthropoda; Insecta; Coleoptera; Staphylinidae.
AAUUACCCACUCCCGGCACGGGGAGGUAGUGACGAAAAAUAACGAUACGGGACUCAUCCGAGGCCCCGUAAUCGGAAUGAGUACACUCUAAACUCUUCCCCAAAAAUCAAUUGGAGGGUAAGUCUGGUGCCAGCAGCCGCGGUAAUUCCAGCUCCAAUAGCGUAUAUUAAAGUUGUUGCGGUUAAAAAGCUCGUAGUCGAACCUGUGUCCUGCGCCGCUGGUUCAUCGCUCGCGGUGUUCAACUGGCGUGUCUCGCGGGACGUCCUGCCGGUGGGAUUGUGCGUUGCUUUCGUGGCGCGCGUCCCAACUCGUAGCCGUCUCGCGCGGUUGCGAAUCCCAUCGCGGUGCUCUUUGUUGAGUGUCGAGGUGGGCCGGCACGUUUACUUUGAACAAAUUAGAGUGCUUAAAGCAGGCCAAUUUUGCCUGAAUAUUGUGUGCAUGGAAUAAUGGAAUAGGACCUCGGUUCUAUUUUGUUGGUUUUCGGAACCCCGAGGUAAUGAUUAAUAGGAACGGAUGGGGGCAUUCGUAUUGCGACGUUAGAGGUGAAAUUCUUGGAUCGUCGCAAGACGGACAGAAGCGAAAGCAUUUGCCAAAAACGUUUUCAUUGAUCAAGAACGAAAGUUAGAGGUUCGAAGGCGAUCAGAUACCGCCCUAGUUCUAACCAUAAACGAUGCCAGCUAGCGAUCCGCCGACGUUCCUCCGAUGACUCGGCGGGCAGCUUCCGGGAAACCAAAGCUUUUGGGUUCCGGGGGAAGUAUGGUUGCAAAGCUGAAACUUAAAGGAAUUGACGGAAGGGCACCACCAGGAGUGGAGCCUGCGGCUUAAUUUGACUCAACACGGGACACCUCACCAGGCCCGGACACCGGAAGGAUUGACAGAUUGAGAGCUCUUUCUUGAUUCGGUGGGUGGUGGUGCAUGGCCGUUCUUAGUUGGUGG